Molecule: ribosomal RNA, 927 nt
Filed under: uncultured bacterium
Lineage: Bacteria
Description: bacterial SSU rRNA
Rfam family: Bacterial small subunit ribosomal RNA
Source: RNAcentral
GACGAACGCUGGCGGCGUGCCUAAUACAUGCAAGUCGAACGCUGCUUAAGAAGAAACUUCGGUUUUUUCUUAAGCGGAGAGGCGGACGGGUGAGUAACACGUGGGGAACCUAUCUAUCAGCGGGGGAUAACACUUGGAAACAGGUGCUAAUACCGCAUAUGGCUUUUUUUCACCUGAAAGAAAGCUCAAAGGCGCUUUACAGCGUCACUGAUGGCUGGUCUCGCGGUGCAUUAGCCAGUUGGUGAGGUAACGGCUCACCAAAGCAACGAUGCAUAGCCGACCUGAGAGGGUGAUCGGCCACACUGGGACUGAGACACGGCCCAGACUCCUACGGGAGGCAGCAGUAGGGAAUCUUCGGCAAUGGACGCAAGUCUGACCGAGCAACGCCGCGUGAGUGAAGAAGGUUUUCGGAUCGUAAAGCUCUGUUGUCAGCAAAGAACAGGAGAAAGAGGAAAUGCUUUUUCUGUGACGGUAGCUGACCAGAAAGCCACGGCUAACUACGUGCCAGCAGCCGCGGUAAUACGUAGGUGGCAAGCGUUGUCCGGAUUUAUUGGGCGUAAAGCGAGCGCAGGCGGUGAUUUAAGUCUGAUGUGAAAGCCCCCAGCUCAACUGGGGAGGGUCAUUGGAAACUGGAUCACUUGAGUGCAGAAGAGGAGAGUGGAAUUCCAUGUGUAGCGGUGAAAUGCGUAGAUAUAUGGAGGAACACCAGUGGCGAAGGCGGCUCUCUGGUCUGUAACUGACGCUGAGACUCGAAAGCGUGGGUAGUAAACAGGAUUAGAUACCCUGGUAGUCCACGCCGUAAACGAUGAGUGCUAAGUGUUGGAGGGUUUCCGCCCUUCAGUGCUGCAGUUAACGCAUUAAGCACUCCGCCUGGGGAGUACGACCGCAAGGUUGAAACUCAAAGGAAUUGACGGGGGCCCGCACAAG